AGAGUUUGAUCCUGGCUCAGGAUGAACGCUGGCGGCGUGCUUAACACAUGCAGGUCGAGCGAAGCGAUAAGGUGAAAUUUUUCGGAAUGAAGCCAUAUUGACUUAGCGGCGGACGGGUGAGUAACGCGUGGGUAACCUGCCUCAUACAGGGGGAUAACAGUUAGAAAUGACUGCUAAUACCGCAUAAGCGCACGGGACUGCAUGGUCCGGUGUGAAAAACCGAGGUGGUAUGAGAUGGACCCGCGUCUGAUUAGCUGGUUGGCGGGGUAACGGCCCACCAAGGCGACGAUCAGUAGCCGACCUGAGAGGGUGGCCGGCCACAUUGGAACUGAGACACGGCCCAAACUCCUACGGGAGGCAGCAGUGGGGAAUAUUGCACAAUGGGGGAAACCCUGAUGCAGCAACGCCGCGUGAGUGAAGAAGUAUUUCGGUAUGUAAAGCUCUAUCAGCAGGGAAGAGAAUGACGGUACCUGACUAAGAAGCCCCGGCUAACUACGUG
RNAcentral lists this ribosomal RNA (499 nucleotides) under uncultured Lachnospiraceae bacterium. RNAcentral describes it as "bacterial SSU rRNA". It matches the Rfam family "Bacterial small subunit ribosomal RNA", at positions 8 to 507 of the family's 1533-position model. Lineage: Bacteria; Bacillati; Bacillota; Clostridia; Lachnospirales; Lachnospiraceae. The record is from RNAcentral.